GAUUGGUGUUGUUCCUCU
RNAcentral lists this small nuclear RNA (18 nucleotides) under Arabidopsis thaliana (thale cress). Its description in RNAcentral is "snRNA_06648". Lineage: Eukaryota; Viridiplantae; Streptophyta; Magnoliopsida; Brassicales; Brassicaceae. The record is from RNAcentral.